Molecule: long non-coding RNA, 674 nt
Filed under: Felis catus (domestic cat)
Lineage: Eukaryota; Metazoa; Chordata; Mammalia; Carnivora; Felidae
Description: lncRNA (ENSFCAG00000041286.2)
Source: RNAcentral
GUAAUAUGUGGGACUAGAAAUCAGAGUCAACAGCCUGGCUCCAGAGGUUAAGCACAGAACAUUCUACUGAAAAACUAAAUGAUAAGGUUUUUUUGUGGUUUACUCUUCCCUGGGAUCAUUUGUCACCAUUACAGCCCUGUGGCUGCUUCUUUUGUUAUCUUGUUCAGACUUGUAGGAAGUAGAUGGCACCUAAUAGAAUCCCUUUGAAACCAGAAGGGACACAAGCAUGCCAUGUGGGGUAGGGUCCAGCUUUGAGCACACUUCUGACUCCUCUUUCCCUUUUCCAGAGGAAAAUCACUCUGCUGUCCAUGCCCUGGAACAAUUGGCUCCCAAAAGCAAAGCUUGUCUGUGAUGGGAUGCCAGCUCAUGGUGGAAUUUUCGUAUUUUGCCAAUGUUGAUCUGGCCUGGAAUGCUGUUCACCCACUUCCUUCAGCCACUGAAGCCAAUGCUGAGAUUGUGUGGCUAAUUUCUAUGACAGCCAUGGUGUAGACAUGAACCAAAGCACAAACCUGCACAGAUUUGCGCACAGGGAUGCAGCCAGGGGUUCUCUCUAUGAACUGCCUCUGAUUAGCAUCAGUUCAGCUGUGCUUCGUCUGUUGUGAUUCCAAGUACACGCGAUCAUUGAUGGGAGGCCAAUGGCUUAGAAAUGGAUGGCCAGGAAAAACAAUGACAAG